Molecule: long non-coding RNA, 582 nt
Organism: Pseudophryne corroboree (corroboree frog)
Lineage: Eukaryota; Metazoa; Chordata; Amphibia; Anura; Myobatrachidae
Exons: 3
Source: RefSeq, a predicted model, not a curated record
CUUUCAGUUUCUUCUAUGCUGACUGUCGUGUGCUGCCUGUUGUGCCCUAAGACGGGGCACAUGGAACAAGUUACCCCAGCCCCCCCUGCUGCCUUUGAUAAUCGCAGCAGUGCACUAUUGCACUGCUGAGCUGGAAACAUGAAUGGUCCGAAAAGGGGGCGGAGCUACACAGCACUUUACUCAGUGCCAGGCCAGCCAGCACCAUCGAAGAGAGGAGGGGAGAGGAGCAGCAGCAGCACACACCAAAGCCUAAAUAGAGAGGCAUCUUGAACCUCUGACCUGCAAGACCAGGGAGGCACCAUAAAGUAGAGGUGAUGGUGGUUAUAUCUACUACUCUUGGCUCCUUACUCCAUUGUCCCAACCUGACUCUCCUGCUGAACACAAAUAUAAUAAUGAACAUAAGUCCACGCGGAAUGUGAUAGAAAGAUGUUUUGGGGUGCUGAAAUCUAGGUUUCGGUGUCUGGAUAAGUCUGCAGGGCUUUUGUAUAGUCCUUUAAAGGUGACUAGGAUUGUGUUCUGCUGCUGUUUUCUUCAUAACAUGUGUUUGCGGCAACAUCUGCCUGUCACAACUGAGGGCCUGAG